UACGGAGGAUUCAAGCGUUAUCCGGAUUUAUUGGGCGUAAAGGGAACGCAGGCGGUCUUUUAAGUCUGAUGUGAAAGCCUUCGGCUUAACCGGAGUAGUGCAUUGGAAACUGGGAGACUUGAGUGCAGAAGAGGAGAGUGGAACUCCAUGUGUAGCGGUGAAAUGCGUAGAUAUCACGCAGAACUCCGAUUGCGAAGGCAGCAUACCGGCGCUCAACUGACGCUCAUGCACGAAAGCGUGGGUAUCGAACAGG
Molecule: ribosomal RNA, 253 nt
Filed under: uncultured bacterium
Lineage: Bacteria
Description: partial 16S ribosomal RNA
Rfam family: Bacterial small subunit ribosomal RNA
Source: RNAcentral